Small nuclear RNA from Sycon ciliatum, 153 nucleotides. RefSeq annotates it as U12 minor spliceosomal RNA. The transcript has a single exon. Lineage: Eukaryota; Metazoa; Porifera; Calcarea; Leucosolenida; Sycettidae. The record is from RefSeq and is a predicted model, not a curated record.
UUGCCUUAAACUAAUGAGUAAGGAAAAUAACAAGCCCCGGUGACGUGGGGCUUUCGUGACGCUGUUCACGAACGUUAUUUUUGGGCGGGGUUCAGAGCGUCCUUGGGUUUGACUCGCCUACUUUGCGGGACGCCCUUGUGUGUGCUCUCUCCG